Molecule: long non-coding RNA, 345 nt
Organism: Venturia canescens
Lineage: Eukaryota; Metazoa; Arthropoda; Insecta; Hymenoptera; Ichneumonidae
Exons: 2
Source: RefSeq, a predicted model, not a curated record
UUAUAUUUUCCGUUUCUUACUUUUGUCUUCGAAAAGUGAAGAUGGCGUUUAAACUCAUGGAAAAACGAAUAUCGAUCCCGAGAACGUUUCGACGCGAAAACGCGUUCGGAUCUCUUGCAGCGACACUCCUAAGCGACGGACACGAUAGAAUCGGAUCGCUGAGACAUCAUCGCGUUUUCAACAGUUCGCAUUCACAUUACUAUUCAUAUUAAUAUUACCAGUACAAUUAUCAUUAUUGUUAUUAUUAUUAUUAUAACUUCUAUUAUUCAUCAUUAUUAUUUCCCGAGGGCUUGGCACUGUAAUUGUGAAGCUUGAAAAAAAAAUAAAAAAAUAAAAAAAAACGUU